Molecule: RNA transcript, 6774 nt
Organism: Orcinus orca (killer whale)
Lineage: Eukaryota; Metazoa; Chordata; Mammalia; Artiodactyla; Delphinidae
Gene: ACSL3
Gene name: acyl-CoA synthetase long chain family member 3
Exons: 17
Source: RefSeq, a predicted model, not a curated record
GCGCGCGUCCUGGGCGGUUCGGCUCAACAGACGCUGGUCUGCAGGCGCUGGGGCGCUACGCUGCGCUUGUUGCGAGUGCUGGGGCUGAGACGAGUCGGCGCGGCAGCUGACCGGGCAGCCGACCGCCGCCCUCUCGCAGUGCGACUCGCGGAGGCUGCGUCAGGGUCCCCAGGAGGCGGCCCGGGGCGUGAAUGCUCUGGGGGCACAGCCAGGCCUGCAUGGGCCGGAGGAACCGGAGCUCCGGCGUCGCGAUUCUUACAGAAAUCUGUUAAUUCUACUUUUUGAGCACUAUGAAUAACCACAUAUCUUCAAAGCCAUCGACCAUGAAGCUAAAACAUACCGUCAACCCCAUUCUUUUAUAUUUCAUACAUUUUAUAAUAUCACUUUAUACUAUUUUAACAUAUAUUCCAUAUUAUUUUUUGUCUGAGUCAAGACAAGAAAAAUCAAACCAAAUUAAAGCGAAGCCUGUAAAUUCAAAACCUGAGUCUGCGUACAGGUCUGUUAACAGCCUGGAUGGCUUGGCCUCAGUAUUAUACCCUGGAUGUGAUACACUAGAUAAAGUUUUUAUGCACGCGAAAAACAAAUUCAAGGACAAGAGACUCCUGGGAACACGUGAAAUUUUAAAUGAGGAAGAUGAAGUGCAGCCAAACGGAAAAAUUUUUAAAAAGGUUAUUCUUGGGAACUAUAAUUGGCUGUCCUUUGAAGAUGUCUUCGUUAGCGCUUUUAAUUUUGGAAAUGGCUUACAGAUAUUGGGUCAGAAACCAAAGACCAACAUUGCCAUCUUCUGUGAAACCAGGGCUGAGUGGAUGAUCGCUGCACAGGCCUGCUUCAUGUAUAAUUUUCAGCUUGUUACGUUGUAUGCUACUCUAGGGGGUCCAGCAAUUGUUCAUGGAUUAAAUGAAACAGAGGUGACCAACAUCAUUACUAGUAAAGAACUCUUACAAACAAAAUUGAAGGAUAUAGUUUCUCUAGUCCCAUGCCUGCGGCACAUCAUCACUGUGGACGGUAAACCACCGACCUGGUCUGAGUUCCCCAAGGGCGUCAUCGUGCACACCAUGGCAGCAGUGCAGGCUCUGGGAGCCAAGGCCAGCGUGGAAAACAAACCUCAUAGCAAACCAGCGCCCUCAGAUAUUGCAGUAAUCAUGUACACAAGUGGAUCCACAGGACUUCCAAAGGGGGUCAUGAUCUCCCAUAGUAACCUUAUUGCUGGUAUAACUGGGAUGGCGGAAAGGAUUCCAGACCUGGGGGAGAAGGAUGUUUACAUCGGGUAUCUGCCUCUGGCCCAUGUUUUAGAAUUAAGUGCUGAGCUUGUUUGUCUUUCUCAUGGAUGCUGCAUUGGCUACUCUUCACCACAGACUUUAGCAGAUCAGUCUUCAAAAAUAAAAAAAGGAAGUAAAGGGGAUACAUCCAUAUUGAAACCAACACUGAUGGCAGCUGUCCCGGAAAUCAUGGAUCGGAUCUACAAAAAUGUCAUGAAUAAAGUGAAUGGAAUGAGUAAUUUUCAACGCACACUGUUUAUUCUCGCCUAUAAUUACAAAAUGGAACAGAUUUCAAAAGGGCAUGGUACUCCGCUGUGUGAUAGCUUUAUUUUCCGGAAAGUUCGAAGCUUGCUAGGUGGAAAUAUUCGGCUUCUCUUGUGUGGGGGUGCUCCACUUUCUGCAACCACACAGAGAUUCAUGAACAUCUGUUUUUGUUGUCCUGUCGGUCAGGGAUAUGGACUCACUGAAUCUUGUGGGGCUGGAACAAUUACAGAAGUGUGGGACUACAAUACUGGCAGAGUGGGAGCGCCAUUAGUUUGCUGUGAAAUCAAAUUAAAGAACUGGGAGGAAGGUGGAUACUUUAAUACUGACAAACCACAUCCUAGGGGUGAAAUUAUUAUUGGUGGCCAAAAUGUGACAAUGGGAUACUACAAAAAUGAAGCAAAAACAAAAGCUGAUUUUUUUGAAGAUGAAAAUGGACAGAGGUGGCUCUGUACUGGAGAUAUUGGAGAGUUUGACCCUGAUGGUUGUUUGAAGAUUAUUGAUCGUAAAAAGGACCUUGUAAAACUGCAGGCAGGAGAAUAUGUUUCUCUUGGGAAAGUGGAGGCAGCUUUGAAGAAUCUCUCACUAAUAGAUAACAUUUGUGCAUAUGCAAACAGUUAUCAUUCUUACGUCAUUGGAUUUGUUGUGCCGAAUCAAAAGGAGCUAACGGAACUAGCACGAAAGAGGGGACUUCGAGGGACUUGGGAGGAGCUGUGUAACAGCUGCGAAAUGGAGAAUGAGGUGCUCAAAGUGCUCUCUGAAGCUGCUGUUUCAGGAGUCUAAGAAAAUACCCGAGAUGUGGAUUGAGAGUUCCUGCACGACCUUCAUUGUGACGUUGUUUACAGUAAUACCCAAACAGGAGCAGUGAUGUUGGCACUAAGGAUAAGAGUGUGAGCUUUGGGUUCGACAUGCCUGGAGGGAAUCACAGAGAACUAGCUGUGUGACCUUGAGCAAGUUAAUGGAUAACUCUGUGCCGGCCUCUAUCUCUGCAAAUGGAGGCUUGGAGGGAUGGCCAGUCAAGGACUUCUCUCUUCCCUGGACAGAAGUGGAUGGGCGAUCCAAGCUACACUGGUAAGAUGUUCUCUUCUUAGCAUGUGGAUAAGAAUUCCAGAGAAUUCGGUUAAACUCAUGUAUCCUGAUGGCAGUGCCCUGAAUGGAGUGUUCCCUGGUUGCUGCUACCUGGCUCUCCAGAGCUUUCCUGAUUCCUGGAUUUUCUGAAAUUUUGGCCACUCUGCUAUUCCUGCAUUUCUGUGAAUUAUUCUGUAGCCUUUCAGUAUUUUUUUUUUUUUCUUUUUACUUAAUGUAGCAGGAGUCAAUUUCUGUUCCUUGUAACCAACAAACCUUGAUGGAUUUAGGCAUUUUCCAGCUUCCCAGCCCCUAGCAGUUUUUUUUAAGAUGUCCUGGCUGGUCAGUAGCUGAUGUCAGAAUUCUUUUGCAUGUUUACUUUAGAGAAUGGAAUCCCCUACACUUUCCUUAUGAGCAGACCAUGCGGUUUCACUACUUGAGUCAUAAACUGAGAUGCCUAGAAAUGGAAUGUUCCUCUUUAUAACUCAGUAUCACGUUUUGCUAUGCAUGACCCCCUAAGAGGUUCCACUCAGAGGGUGUUGUGAAGAUUUGAAGAUAAUACCAACCAUAUUGUAGACUCUUAAGAACAAAGAUAUGGUCUGAUUUUAAAAAAAUGAAGAUUCUUAAUUUUAUAGCUGUAGCCAGUGGCUGUCUUGUGGGUUUUUCCCCCCACUUACUUCAUCUGCUAUUUUUCUUGCAAUAAAAGUAAAUUUUUCUCUUUCCCUUCCCACCUCCUUUUAUUGGGAUAAACUGUUGUGGUGGUGGUGCCUUCCGUCUUUCUUUCUUAGCCUCCACUAACAUUUUCAUUAGCUUCAUCACUUGCUACUUACUUGGAACACUCCAAGAUUUGCUUCUGACUACUGCUAAUUGAACUAUACUCCUCAUUUUUUCUCAUGAAUCCUGGGGAGAGUAGCAUUUUCUCCCCGAGGGAAAAUGAAAACAUGACAGAAGACAGAGGUAGCUAUUAUGUAAACAAGAGAGGAAUCACAGAACAGAUUUCAGUGGCCUUUGUGCAAAGGGAAAGCGGAAGUGAAGAGCAAUUCAAGUCCAGGCCCGGCCACGUGGAUUAGCCUUUUUCAAUGAUACGAUAGCACAGCAUGAGAAAAAAGGAGGGCCUGACUCAAGAGGAAGUGCUCCAUGUGGGAUGGCUGAGCGAGUAGUUGCUCUUACAAUCCUCAGUGGACUCAGGAUGAAUGGGGAAAAGAAGGCCCUAAAGAAUCUAAAUAUGGUACAAAAUCAAAAGAAUCCAAGAAUGAAUCUGAUUGUCAGCAGUUUUAUUCUUUGUCAUGGGUUGAUAAUAAGUGCAUUUAGCAGAUAGAAAAUAAGCAUUGGCUUGGGGAAAAAAAUCUGCCCUUCUGAUUUCAAGGCAAGCACCAUAUCCUUGGCUGCUUUGAAAAUUACCUAUCAAGUCUCACUCCUCUCUGCUCUUCCCAUCAUGGAUCUUAGCCAAGCUGGUGUAAUUUUCGAAUGGUCUUUCUUCUCUGGUUUCUUCCCUCUUCAAGCUCUUCUUUCUGCUCCCAGAAUAAACAAGACCUGGCCGUGUCAACCACCUGCUUAAACUUUUGAGGAUGCUCCUUUGUCCACAGAUGGAGUUGGACUCUUUACCAUGGCAAUAAGACCCUACCCGUGUGGACCUCCACAUGCCUUCCCAGCCUGUCUCCUGCUACCUGCUUCCACCCGUCACCCCACACACAUACUAACCUGCUUGCCAUUCCACAAACACAUCAAGCUCUUUAAGGCCUCCGUGACUUUGCUCAUGCUUCUUCCAUUUUGGUUUUCUCCUCAAGGUUUGCCUCCUCCAGAGAAAUCUCUUAAAGACCAAUAUUAAAGGUCAAAAUCUCUGCCCAGCAGAAUCUGUUGCCUUUUCCUCUGUGCACAAUUUUCUUUCUAUACAUACCACACAUAUAGCACAUACAUUAUAUCAGUGCAGCCCAAUAGAAAUAUAACAUGAACCAGAUACUUAAUUAAAAAUUUCCAGUAGCCACAUUAAAACAGUAAAAAAAAAACCAUGCAAAGUUAAUUUUAAUAAUAUGUUUUAUUUAACUCAAUAUAUCUAAAAAUAUCAUUUCAAUAUGUAAUCAACGUAAAAAUUACCAAUAAGAUAUAAUAAAUUCUUUGAAAUCUGGUGUAUGUUAUAUACUUACAGCAUACCUCAGUUUAGCCUAAAUACAUUACAAGUGCUCAAUAGCGACAUUUGGCUAGGACUACCAUGUGGGACAGUCACAUUAUUUUAUAGGUCAUUGUUUUCUUGUCUUUCUUCUGGUUCAGUGAUGUGUUUCUCAAGAGCUAAGCCUUAUUCACCUUUUGAUGUCUGCUAUAUAGUCCUAUGUGGGGAACAUAGAGCUGAGUGAAUGUGUGCUGAAUGGAAGAAUAAUUUUUAAGUCUUGGGAAUCUAUGAAUGUUGGGCCCACAAAUGAACCAUUAUAUUUCCUUUUAUGUCAAAUUCCCUUGGUAGCCUCAGUGCAAGCUAUCACAUAAUGUUCAACAGUUCCCGUAAAUCCAUUGCCAAAUGGUCAAUGCGGCGUGCAUAAUAAAAAUGACCUGGAUGGAAGAUGAGUUACACUGUUCAAAUUCCAUUUGGCUGUUGUAAAAUUAUCAUAAUACUUUGAAUACAUUAUGACUAUAAUGAUUGCACUGUAAUUGAACACUUUUCAGGUACUUUUCUCAUGACAUUGACCUAGAUGAAUCAGCCAUGCACACAUGAUCUAAUCAAUCAUGGACAGCAUCCCUGAAUGUUUUCAGAGAAGAUGGAAGUGGAGGGAAAAAAGGGAUUAGUUAAAUCGCAUGUUAUUUGAUUACUGUCGUCUCUGAACUCCUGUAGCAUUUAUAACCCCUGCUGGGUAACGUGUACACAAUGAUCCUAUGGGUUCAGGGUCACAAGGAAAACCUGUGGGACCUCUGAGAGCAAUGGUUAUGCACCAUUGGCAAAGAUCCUGUUCUUUAAUCCUACACUGUUAAUGACCUUCUCAGUACCACAGGGACAGAUCUGUGGUGGGGACUCUUGGGGUUUCAGGAUGAGAUGGCAGAAUACAAAGUACUGUAACAUACAUUUAAUGGUUUAUAAUCAAUAUCUCUUGUGGCCAGACUAAAGUCCUUGAGAAUCAUUCAGUGACUCAAAAUACAAAUAAUUGUGACUAAAAAGAUUAUCCAAAACACACGGUUUUGAAUUCCUUUGCUAAAAGAAAACCCCCAUUUCUGUUCCCUAGAUGAUAAUAUUCAGAUGAGACACUUGUCAUGUCUGUCACCAUAUUCACCAUCACAGAUCAUUUUGACUUUUCCAGUGUUUUUACGUGCUUUAAUCUGUCAUAGCCAUUCAUUUAUUCAAAAAGUGGGUCAAACUCUUAUUGUCAUCUCUUGCACUAUGAUUCACAUUGGCCAUGGAAACUAUAAAAACUAUCUGAGCUAAUAUAAUAUAAGGUGUCUGUUAUCUUUCAACAUAUAGACGCAACCAUAUAUAAUUUCUCUCAUGCUGUAAAUAAAUCAAUAGCUGUAAUUAAAGGAAAAUCAGUUAAAAGGAGGUAACAAUAUUAAGACUUUGUGCCCUACUCACUUCUCUCUGUGGAAGAAAUUCCUGAAUGCUGGGAGAAGGAACAGACGGGGUCUUGGUGGACAAUACCUUGUCAAGUGGAAUAGUCUCGUCUCCAGCUGUGCAAAAAUGUAAUUACUUCGGCAUGUCUCAGAAGACCCAACUCUUUUGUGUUCUGGAGAAGGGAAGAGCCAAACAUGGAAUAGUAAUGUCGAUAUUCAGGCCAUUUAUCAAUCAAAUCUAAUCAUUAAAGCAAUAAUGUAUUCAACAUUUAAAAAUUUUAAAGUUUCUGUUCAGCCCAAUUGUUUGAAGCACAUAUGUUUUAGUAUGUCUUUUUCCCCUCGACCUAGACACUGAAAAUAUGAGUGAAAUUUGAGUCUUAUCCAAAUAUAAACUGAAAUCUAAAGGUGAUGGAAGAUGAGGUGCUUUGGGGGGACCAUCCUUCAUGCUCCAUCUGCUAUGAGAACCCUCUCGAGGUUUGUUGGAGAAAUACUACAUGAUCCAUUGUGUGCCUGCCUUGUUUUCAUCCUUUUCCCAGACAUCCCAUCCAUCUGGUGUUGAGUGGAGGUGGAGAACGGCUCUGGAGUCAGACAAAUCUGGGCUGGAUUCACUCUGGGAUUUUGGGCACGAUAUUACUCAUUAAACAAUGAAGCCUUUUCUUUA